CCACUUUAUCCCAACAAACAAACCCACUCUCCCAGUCGUGCAAGCCUAUCAUUUCUUCUUACCCAUCAUCUCUCACCUUUUUAUUGCAUGCCUAGUCUCCUUGUACCACCAUUUCUAUUGCCAUCGGGUCAUUGUAACUCUUAUAGGCCUUAGAUCUUGGUUCUCACUAAAACACUAAUGUUUUUCGUUGCACUCCCACCAAAAAACUCGGAAGUUCGGUGGCAAGCAUUGGUUGUUGGACAAAAUAGAGAAGGUGAUCAGAGAAGAGAAAAAAUCUUUAAGGUACUGUUAUUACUGCCUUAGGACACGUUGUGCUGCAGCUGCAUCGUUUCGGUGUUCCAGAUGCAGCGAGCCAGUAAUUGCAAUGCAGCGGUAUGGUGUAGUUGAUCAUAAAGUUCCAAGUCAAUGAUACUUGUAUAGGAAGUAGAGAAA
This is a long non-coding RNA of Mangifera indica (mango), 432 nucleotides long. RefSeq lists it as uncharacterized. The record is from RefSeq and is a predicted model, not a curated record. Lineage: Eukaryota; Viridiplantae; Streptophyta; Magnoliopsida; Sapindales; Anacardiaceae. The transcript has 2 exons.